CCGACCGCAUCUCUUCUUCUUCGUCUCCUCUCCCGGACAGCAGCAGUCUCUCGCCGGCGCGUUGAGUAGAAACCCUAAAAAAUCCCGUCUCCUCCUUUCGCCCGCGGAGCCCUCCCCUCGCCGGGGGUAGGGCUAAGGGGUUUCCGCCCGCCAUGGACGCCAUGCGGAAGCAGCUGGACGUGCUCAUGGGCGCCAACCGCAACGGCGACGUGGAGGAGGUCAACCGGAACUACUACGACCGCGACGUCUGCCGCCUCUUCCUCGCGGGUCUAUGCCCGCACGACCUAUUCCAGCUCACGAAAAUGGAUCUCGGACCUUGUUCGAAGAUUCACUCGCUUCAGCUACGGAAAGACUAUGAAGAAGCAAAAUCAAAGGGAUCAGAGAAUUUUGAUAGAGAGCUUGAGGAUAUGAUAGAAAGGCUCAUCGUGGAGUGUGAUAGGAAAAUUCAAAGGGCCCUGAAACGGCUUGCGGAUGAGGAUGCCAAGGCUGCUAUUGCAAUAUCUGUGUCUGAGGUUACUCUGACAGAUGAGAUACUGCAGCUGUCAAAACAAAUCAAGGAGAAAAUGAAAGAAGUUGAUACUUUUGAUUUUGAGGGGAGAACUGAUGAUAAAAUAAAGGCCCAGGAAGUGGUGGAAGAACUGAGAGCUAAAAGGGCUGAUAUGCAGGCUACCCUCUUGCUUGAUGCUUUUAACAAGGACAGAGCUUCAUUACCUACACCUGCUCCACCUCCUCAAGUAGCAGCAGUGCCACCACCUCCUCCUCCUGAUGCUCGUACUCAAGAAAUGAUUAAUGAAAAGCUUAAGAAAGCUGAAGAGCUUGGUGAACAAGGCAUGGUAGACGAAGCUCAGAAAGCUUUGGAAGAGGCAGAAGCUCUGAAAAAGCUGGCGCCACGGCCGGAGCCACCUUCAGAUCCUACUAAAUAUACAGCUGCUGAUGUUAGAAUUACGGAUCAAAAAUUACGCCUCUGUGACAUAUGUGGUGCAUUUCUGAGUGUAUAUGACAAUGAUCGACGUCUUGCUGACCAUUUUGGAGGGAAGCUACACUUGGGCUACAUGCUGAUUCGUGAAAAACUGAAAGAACUUCAGGUGCUGAGUGUAAUGUACCAUUUUCUGCUUUAAAGAGUUACUCUGUUUUGGGCCUUUUGGCAUCUGUGAGUUUUCUUAUCUCAAGAGCCUCAAGGUUCUCACCUUCCCUAUAUAUUAUUUCAUUACUCACAUUGGAGGGCAGUUUGGUUAUUACGCUAGUCAUUACAGGAAUUAGUCCAUGUUGCGUGCAUGUGACAAUCAUCUUCACACCCAUGGCAACAACAGUCACUGUCUCUUGAGAAAUGUAAGCAUAGGAGCAUGCAGAACAUGGUAUGAUGAAUCAUGUUUACUUAAUUGUGACAAACUGCUCAUGUGCUCUGCUUAGUAUUAUGUUGAGCAGAAGCUGGAGGUUGCUUUUCUACUGGUGAGCCAUAUUAUAUAGAUCUGGUGAUAAAUAUUACUGGUUAAGUUAUCCUGAAAGCACGUCCUUUUGCCAACAUUUGCUGUAAGUGACAACUUGUUCUGCUGUUUAUCUGCUACCUGCUCCACAAAUGUGUAAGAUUAUUUUUGCUGAAGCAGCCUUGCCUGUAAUGUAUCACUUGCCUUUUCUUUUGGAACAUUUGUCUCUUAUUUUUAAGUAUACCAAAAUAUCAUCAUUUUUACUGUCAUAAAAUACACUAUGCCAUCUUCCAGGAGCUGAGAAAUAAAAGAAGGAAGGACAAAUCUGAAGAUGAUAGACGAUCAAGAGAGCACAGCAAGGACCACAACAGUCGGGCAUCAAGGGAUAGAGAUACAGAAAGAAAAGACAGGAUUGACUCUCGAGAUGGUAGAAGAGGAGAUUAUGAUAGGGAUCGUGAUAGACGUCAUGAUAGGGAUCGUCGCCAUGACCGUGAUCGGGAUAGAGAU
Panicum hallii is the source of this 1931-nucleotide RNA transcript. It is a transcript of the gene named putative RNA-binding protein Luc7-like 2, with no coding region annotated. The transcript has 12 exons. NCBI's taxonomy places the organism in Eukaryota, Viridiplantae, Streptophyta, Magnoliopsida, Poales, Poaceae. The record is from RefSeq and is a predicted model, not a curated record.